Molecule: non-coding RNA, 1081 nt
Organism: Lactuca sativa (garden lettuce)
Lineage: Eukaryota; Viridiplantae; Streptophyta; Magnoliopsida; Asterales; Asteraceae
Source: RefSeq, a predicted model, not a curated record
UGCCAUUUUCGAUUUCAGGGUUUCACAAAAUCAAAACUUUUGUCCGCCUCCAUUUAAUUUAGCGGGAUCCAUCAGUGAAAUUUUUUAUUAUCCCGCUUCUCUCUAUCUCCCUCCCUGAUUCGUUUUCCCUCUUCUCUCUCACUGUUUCCUACUCGCACCUCCCCCUUACACCCCCUCUCGUCUUCGUUUUCAUCGUCGGAGUUCCAUCUUACCGCCGAUGCUUUCCGUUCAUCACCGAUUCAUCGUCGCCCUUUUUAGCUCCAGUCGUCUGCUUGUCGUCGCCGUCAUCGGCUUGCCAUCGCCAUUGUCAUCAUUUUUUCAAGGUGUGUUUUGAUUUUGGGUUCCGUUAGAUGCCUUCUUCAAACUGUUGAUGCCUUCUUCAAACUCCUCUGCUCCAUGUGUUAUUGAGGCGACCAAGGUUAUUACUCCAUGGCUCAGCUGCCCUCCUCUCUCUAUUUGCACCUUUGCUCGAUUUCUUCCAUAAAAAGGUUCGGAAAGCUGGUGAUCCAGGUAAUCACAAUUCUGCAAUCUUCCCACGGGUAAGGAGGUCAAUAUGACUUUUCAGUUUAUUGAGAAUCAAAUCAAUCAAUUUUGAGUAAAUAUUCAACUUUUUUUAUGAGUUUCAGUGAUUAUCCUACUGUGGCUUCUACAUGAGAAUGGAGUUUUUGAUCUUGUGUAUGACAGGUCCGUCAACAGUAAUUUUUAGAAUUGAACUUUUGCUCAUUGACUUCAGGUUUAGCAGUUGGAAAUCAACUUGGUUUGAUCUGUGUAUAUAACCUCAAUUCCAGUUCAAAAGAUACAAUCCUACACAUUGUCACAACAAUAAAACAAGAAGGUACCUUUUGUGUUAGGUAUAUGUUUUUUAAUAUGUUUCUUUAUUUUCAUAAUGUUUAAACUAUUUUCAAUUUACUAACAAGCUGAAAAUGGUGAGCCCAAGUCUAGUUUGUGUUUCCACUUUCUUGAUUCCCCUGUUGAAGCACUUCAAUAUAUGGACCAUGGAGCUACGCUAGCUCUUUUUGAACAAUUGAAUUUGUAAACUUUUGAUAUUGUUUGUUUUGUUAAUUAGCAUUUACUUUUGUAA